Molecule: long non-coding RNA, 2797 nt
Organism: Carassius auratus (goldfish)
Lineage: Eukaryota; Metazoa; Chordata; Actinopteri; Cypriniformes; Cyprinidae
Exons: 3
Source: RefSeq, a predicted model, not a curated record
AUAAAAAAUGCAUAAUUUUUCUGUUCUCUGAUAACACGUUAUGACUACAACAGGUAAAUGUGGAUGCACUUCACCAUUACAGACAAUGAUGCUAGACUAGCAAUAUGUAAAAGAUUUUGGCUGAAAUAUUCAGUUUUUGGGGCUAAAUUAGAACUUUGGUUCUCGAUGAUUUUGUAAUAAAUUCAUUUUUACAUUUAAAUUCUGUUGAAACCAUGCGUUAUGUUGUACUUCAUAAUAAAUUGGGGGAAAAAAAAACAUUAACUUAAGUAUCAGAUAUUCCCUUUUCAAAGACAAUUUUUUAUUUGCAUUAGAUGUUGAGUGUUAAAUUUAACAGGUGACUUAACUUAGGCUCCGGCUGUUCCUCGGUACGAUCCCUAACCACAUGACUAAUUUACCAUCCUAACAGCCGAGUAAAAGAGAGCAGAUACUGAGGUGUUGUAGUGUUUUGUGUUCGAGCUGAUUCUAUAUCCAAGUGUAAUUAUAUCAGGAGCUGCAGUCAUGCUGUUGCCAGCUCACUGAUUCGUAUCUAAUAUCUUUUCCUCUGACAAGGGAAAUCCUGCAUUGCCCCGCCCUGUCUUCUCCCAAAGGGCUUCCCCCUCCCUGAUGGAAAUGCAGAAGAUGUUUGUGCGUGUGCUAGAAAGAGAUAGAGUUUCUACUUGGUCUUCAUAUGUGUCUAAGUGCCCUAUCUUCUGCCAUUCACUCCGCCCUCCACCCAAUAUUUUCUUUUCCCUCCUAUUUUCCCUUAUUGCGUUUUUCUCUUAACCCAUCCUCCAUCAGAUCUUCCUUUCUGUCUUUCAAUAUCUUUUUCAACCACUAAUCUUAUUUAUUUUUUCGCCCUCCCACCAUCCCAUCCAUUUUUCUCUAAGAUUCUUUGUUUUUCAGCUUCUGUGCAGUAUACCUCCCCCCAUUCCCCCUCUGGAUCGGUCUCAUUACUUUACCCACUUUCCCUCUUCCAACUCCAAUCCCAUUUAUGGAAAGUAGUAAAUGGGGAAGCUGACAGAAUCUAUUCCAGUCAGAGGCUGUUCCUUCCUGCUCGGUGCAGUUCGGAUGCCUGGUAACCAGGUCUCUCCACCUGCACCUCAUCCUUCCCUCUGCCUCAACCACCCAUCUGAAUAAUUGAAUUAUCAUUGAAGCUCAAGAUGUCUCAAACGAACGCUGAGGCACACAUCAUUAAAGUCACUGAAGGGGAACAGAGAUCUGCCAGCUCAAUGGAUGGCCAUGUCCGGAAUGCUCUCUAUCCCCUCUAAUCCCACAUCAAGGCCCUUCCUCUCCACUCUGACAUCAGUCAAGUCCACCUGUAGAGAUCAGCCUUCUUCCUUCUCUGUAGUCUAUGGCCACUGACUCAUACUGCAUGAAGAGUAUUUAGAUGCCAUAUGCACAAGCUUCAAUAAGCUAUUGAUUAUAUUUGUAUGACAGAAAGAUAUGUUUUUUUUUAUAUCUUCAUCUUUUUUUGUGUGUGGCAUACACAUGGCCGGUAAUGAGUAGACCUUAUUUCAGAGAGAUUACCAGAGUUUGGCCACUGGUGGUUGUGGAGAUGGGACUCAAUUGAGUACUAACACCUAAUAAAGCACCUGAGCACAGAGUUCUGGGAAGAUCAAGAGGACACGAUAAUCAUCUCUACAAAAAGGCCAAUAUAAUAACCAUCAAAAUUCAGCAAAACGUCUCUCCUACAGUCCCAAUCAUGGAAAAUACGUGUGAGAACUUCACUCAGCAUAACAUAAUGUAUAAAAGAUUAGUUCAGCCAAAAAUGUAAAUUCUGUAAUCAUUGACUUCAUAAAAACAUGUAUUUUGCCUCUUCUGUGAAAUUCUAUGCAAUUUUAUUCAGUUAUAAAUAAUGGGGACUAGCUUUAAAAAUAUCACACAAGUAGUUCACAUAACUCUUUUUCUUCUAAAGUUAUAUGACCAAAUUUCAAGUUAAAAUUUAACACACACCAUCAAAUUUACAUUUUAUGUAAAAUAUAACAAUUUUAUGUAAUCUAUUUAUUUAUUUCUAAUUGAUAAAAAAAUGUGAUGCUUCAUAAAGUUUAGAAAGCAACGUAAUCCAUAUACAGUACAUUGAGAAGUUGAAUUAAAUCUUCCAAAGAGACACAAUAGAUUUAAAUGAUCAACAGAAUUAAUCUAGACUUUUAUACAUACAUAAAUACCAGCGUGCAAACAUAGAACUCAUCAGAUAUGGUAAACGGAAGCUCAAAAAUGCUUGCUGGAUGUGUUUUUUUUUUUUUUUCUGCAGAGCAAGUAUGGCUGUUAAUUUUAAUUUAAAAAUACCUUUAUUUGUGUCUAAACGAUGAAAACAGUCUUAUGGUUUUGGAAUGACAAGAGGAUGAGUAAAUGAUGGCGGAAUUUUAAUUCCCUUUAAAUCUUAUUACUAAAGGAACUUUGAUGUUUUAAUUCUGGUGGUUUGUCUGGAUGCCUAAAUAAACCUCUGUACAGUAAAACUGGGUAAAAUUUUUAUUGUUGUUUAAAGAAGCAUUUCAGCAUUUCAUUCAGAUGUUAAUAUUUCAGUAUAUUAUAUCUGGAGAAAAAUCAGACUGACUCAAAUAAAACUGUGACUGACUGAAAAACACAUCAGCCCACUCUACAGACGGAAGGCAGGUUAGAAUAUGUUAAUGUUGAUGGAGAGAAAGGCCUUCUGCCAAGACACAUUGAUUAGGAAUUGAAUUAAGCUGUAAAACUCUGCACAAAGAGACAUGAUCCAAUACAGCAGCCAUACCUGACAUUUACUGCCCAGAAUGAGCUUUUGUCUUGUUCCUCCAAGAGCACAUCACGUCAGACUUGAGAGAUGGAAAGGCUGAUUUUC